CAUCAUCGGCAAUCGGGCCGUUGGUCCCCAGUGGAACGUUAGGCUCAAGUCGGGACGUCGGGACUCGUACUUCUUGGCGAGCGCCGACCCACAGUCGAAGAGUCGAGAUUCCAGACUCCAAAAUUUUGAAACUAAAUUUGUAUUCCGAGUGAGGGGAUACAAAGUUUAUUGGUAGUACAACUUUAGGUUGUCGGUAUUUCAGGUC
RNAcentral lists this long non-coding RNA (205 nucleotides) under Elaeis guineensis (African oil palm). RNAcentral's name for it is "long non-coding RNA (EGUI_LNC061161)". Lineage: Eukaryota; Viridiplantae; Streptophyta; Magnoliopsida; Arecales; Arecaceae. The record is from RNAcentral.